This 439-nucleotide ribosomal RNA is filed under the name uncultured bacterium. Its description in RNAcentral is "partial 16S ribosomal RNA". It matches the Rfam family "Bacterial small subunit ribosomal RNA", at positions 338 to 795 of the family's 1533-position model. The record is from RNAcentral.
CCUACGGGCGGCAGCAGUGGGGAAUAUUGCACAAUGGGGGAAACCCUGAUGCAGCGACGCCGCGUGAGUGAAGAAGUAUUUCGGUAUGUAAAGCUCUAUCAGCAGGGAAGAAAAUGACGGUACCUGAUUAAGAAGCCCCGGCUACCUACGGGCCAGCAGCCGCGGUAAUACGUAGGGGGCAAGCGUUAUCCGGAUUUACUGGUUGGAAAGGGAGCGUAGACGGCAGCACAAGUCUGGAGUGAAAUGCCGGGGCUUAACCCCGGACCUGCUUUGGAACUGUGCAGCGAGAGUGCAGGAGAGGUAAGUGGAAUUCCGAGUGUAGCGGUGAAAUGCGUAGAUAUUAGGAGGAACACCAGUGGCGAAGGCGGCUUACUGGACUGUAACUGACGUUGAGGCUCGAAAGCGUGGGGAGCAAACAGGAUUAGAUACCCGAGUAGUC